UUGACAUGUACGGAAGUUGCCAGAGAUGGCUUCGUGCUCGAAAGAGAGCCGUAACACAGGUGCUGCAUGGCUGUCGUCAGCUCGUGUCGUGAGAUGUUGGGUUAAGUCCCGCAACGAGCGCAACCCUUGUCAUUAGUUGCUACGAAAGGGCACUCUAAUGAGACUGCCGGUGACAAACCGGAGGAAGGUGGGGAUGACGUCAAGUCCUCAUGGCCCUUAUAGGUGGGGCUACACACGUCAUACAAUGGCUGGUACAAAGGGUUGCCAACCCGCGAGGGGGAGCCAAUCCCAUAAAGCCAGUCGUAGUCCGGAUCGCAGUCUGCAACUCGACUGCGUGAAGUCGGAAUCGCUAGUAAUCGUGGAUCAGCAUGUCACGGUGAAUACGUUCCCGGGUCUU
Molecule: ribosomal RNA, 397 nt
Filed under: uncultured Curvibacter sp.
Lineage: Bacteria; Pseudomonadati; Pseudomonadota; Betaproteobacteria; Burkholderiales; Comamonadaceae
Description: bacterial SSU rRNA
Rfam family: Bacterial small subunit ribosomal RNA
Source: RNAcentral